CUAUCAGAAGAUAGUUUAAUUUAGAAUUCUGGCUUUGGGAGCCAGGGGUGGGAGUUAAAUUCUCCCUCUUCUGGG
This 75-nucleotide transfer RNA is filed under the name Oregonichthys kalawatseti. RNAcentral's name for it is "tRNA-Pro". It matches the Rfam family "tRNA". Rfam says of the family: Transfer RNA (tRNA) molecules are approximately 80 nucleotides in length. Their secondary structure includes four short double-helical elements and three loops (D, anti-codon, and T loops). The record is from RNAcentral. Lineage: Eukaryota; Metazoa; Chordata; Actinopteri; Cypriniformes; Leuciscidae.